RNAcentral lists this microRNA precursor (124 nucleotides) under Theobroma cacao (cacao). Its description in RNAcentral is "miR156a stem-loop (tcc-MIR156a)". Its record names the gene tcc-MIR156a. Lineage: Eukaryota; Viridiplantae; Streptophyta; Magnoliopsida; Malvales; Malvaceae. The record is from miRBase by way of RNAcentral.
GGGGAAGAUCAUGACCAUGUUGACAGAAGAGAGAGAGCACAACCCGGCAUCAGCUAAAGAAAGUCUUUGCUUUUGUUGGGAGUGUGCUUUCUCUUCUUCUGUCACCAUCAUCUUUUCACCCCCU